RNAcentral lists this long non-coding RNA (1441 nucleotides) under Gadus morhua (Atlantic cod). RNAcentral's name for it is "lncRNA (ENSGMOG00000031850.1)". The record is from RNAcentral. Lineage: Eukaryota; Metazoa; Chordata; Actinopteri; Gadiformes; Gadidae.
AAAGAACUUUCCUCUGGGGGUUGCCAUGGAAAGAUGUGGUGAGACCCAGCCGGUGGAAGGGAACCUGCCUCCGGAACACAGCCACAAGAUAGAUCUGGACUUCGCCCUGAAGAAGUUCAGACGACACGCCGUGGAUCCGAGCCUCCAUCUCCUGGUCACCCCGAGUUGGAAGGAGCCGCUCCUCAGUGCGUUGAGGAUGUUGGGCAGUCCAGGCUUCUGCUUCAGAGCCUCCCCAGUCAUUUCUUUGUGUGACACAGAGCGAGAAGCUGGCGGACACCAUCUCGACCUCAGAGAGUUCUUCAGCUAAUGUGUGGCCAGAAUGCCUUUCUGGACGACUUUGACUGGAGAGACGUUACCGAUCCUGAGGCACAAGUCUGAAUGAAACAGCUUCAGAGUCCUACCAGUUUAGGGCUGUUAUCUGACAGCUCUUGUGACCGGUACAGAAGCUCUGAACUACCAGAGAACGACUCUACUGACCAUUCCUCCAUUUACGCCAGCCUGGUCAAACACUACAUCUACCACAGGGUAGCAAGUACGGCCGCUCAGUUCACAGACGGUUUGGACAGCUGCAGUGGUUUAUGGGAAACGGUGUGUACCAACUGGGAGGCAUUUGCUCCAGUUAUGACCGGCAUGGGACAUAAAACAAGGAGGACUAGUGCAGAUUGCAGCUUAAGAGGUGGAGAAGGAAUCCAAACAUCACCUAACAUCACAUCAAACAAUGGAGUGAUGCUUCACAAGUAUGGAAUAGUAAAAGGUAUAACCAGUUUUGUUUAUGCGUCACUGAAGUGGUAGCAUUUUAAGUACGUAGUAUAUCCAUGAGAAGUAGUGUGAUAAAAGCAUGGUCUACAGACUUAUAAGAAUGCUGUUCCUGAUGUUUAGGGGGUUGACAAUAUUUGUUUUAUAUAAAUGGUCAGACAAAAGUAGAUAACUCUGAAACAAUGAUAAUCCAAUGUCUACAUCUAAAUGCACCAGUUGCAGAUGUCUACAGAAAAAUUGCAGUGUUCUAAAUCCUAGGGCACAUGGAAAUGUUGUGAUAAAUUUGAUGUUUUAUUUAACAUUUGAAUACACAUUUCAUAUAAUUACAAUUUCAAAUGUACGUAUUUACUAAUGAAAUGCAACCAGGACGGUGUGUCUUCAGUAGUAAUGCAUUAUCUGAAAAUAAAAUUAUAUUUAAAUAUUACAGGCCAUGAUUUUUUUUUUUUUCUUUUGGUGCUUGGUGUUUAUCAAAGGUCAAAUAAUUGGAAUAUUGAAUAUUUGAUCUCUGUACAAUUUGAUUUGCACAAUGCUGCAGAAAGAGCAGGGGUUUCAUCCUGACGUGUCGGAGCACGCAGUGUGGUGUGUGGUGAUGGCUGGUUUAUCCUGUUUGCAUUGAUUGCCAAAUGCACCACAGGUGUGCAGCCUCAACCUGCCCCAGAUUCUAAUCCGGACCGUCCAACUCAGG